UACGGAGGGGGCGAGCGUUAUUCGGAAUUAUUGGGCGUAAAGCGCGUGUAGGCGGCUUUGCAAGUCGGGUGUGAAAGCCCUCAGCUUAACUGAGGAAGUGCGCCCGAAACUGCUUAGCUUGAGUGCCGGAGAGGAUGGCGGAAUUCCCCAAGUAGAGGUGAAAUUCGUAGAUAUGGGGAGGAACACCGGUGGCGAAGGCGGCCAUCUGGACGGUAACUGACGCUGAGACGCGAAAGCGUGGGUAGCAAACAGG
RNAcentral lists this ribosomal RNA (253 nucleotides) under uncultured bacterium. RNAcentral's name for it is "partial 16S ribosomal RNA". It matches the Rfam family "Bacterial small subunit ribosomal RNA", at positions 524 to 776 of the family's 1533-position model. The record is from RNAcentral.